UGAAUACUGAAGGGUUGGUAGGGGACCAGAGAAUAGAGGAAGCAUUGUAGGUUCUAGAGUGGAGAAGGGACCAUCCAAAAUGGAGUUUGAAAGAGAAUUCUGGCCUUUGUGUUUAGAGUCUGGAAUUGUCAAGAGUCUGAAAGCACAGAAUAAGACUGCAGCUAGAGCAAUUUAGGCGCCAUAGUUUGUCAAAACAGAGACGGGAUCUCACUGUGUUGCCCAGGCUGGUCUCGAACUGCUGGACUCAAGUCAUCCUCCCAUCUUGGCCUCCCAAAGUGCUGGAAUUACAGUGGACAACCUUCAAUGCACUGGUACUUUGUACCCUGACCUCUACUGUGAUGAACACUCAACUUGGGCAAGGAAGUGAAAUUCUCCAAAGGUUGGAGUGCAGUGGUGCGAUCUCAGCUCACUGUAACCUCUGCCUCCCGAAUUCAAGUGAUUUCCCUGCCUCAGCCUCCCGAGUAGCUGGGACUACAGGAAUUAUUAAGAUAAGGACCAGCAGUACAAUGAGCUUUUCACUGUAUGUCUGACCUGAAAGAAGAAAAUCUUUUCAGAGGACUCCUCUCUCCCCUUCAGUCGCCAAGACAAUGAGAGCUCUUGCUACAGAAUACUCAUGGUCAUUUCUUCCCCUGGCAUUCAUAAACUAACAUGGUUCCCAAGCACUACCUUGUUGGCUGAGAGAGAGUCCCCGCCUGUGUUGGGAGGCAGGCUGAGGGCUGCGACGGCUGCUGUGGUGAUUGCUGCUGCUGCAUGCGAUCCUGCAGGCUCCG
Molecule: long non-coding RNA, 770 nt
Organism: Homo sapiens (human)
Lineage: Eukaryota; Metazoa; Chordata; Mammalia; Primates; Hominidae
Gene: PPP3CB-AS1
Product: PPP3CB antisense RNA 1 (head to head)
Source: Ensembl